GAUGAACGCUGGCGGCGUGCCUAAUACAUGCAAGUCGAGCGAAUGGAUUAAGAGCUUGCUCUUAUGAAGUUAGCGGCGGACGGGUGAGUAACACGUGGGUAACCUGCCCAUAAGACUGGGAUAACUCCGGGAAACCGGGGCUAAUACCGGAUAACAUUUUGAACCGCAUGGUUCGAAAUUGAAAGGCGGCUUCGGCUGUCACUUAUGGAUGGACCCGCGUCGCAUUAGCUAGUUGGUGAGGUAACGGCUCACCAAGGCAACGAUGCGUAGCCGACCUGGGAGGGUGAUCGGCAACACGGGGACUGAGACACGGCCCAGACUCCUACGGGAGGCAGCAGUAGGGAAUCUUCCGCAAUGGACGAAAGUCUGACGGAGCAACGCCGAGUGAGUGAUGAAGGCUUUCGGGUCGUAAAACUCUGUUGUUAGGGAAGAACAAGUGCUAGUUGAAUAAGCUGGCACCUCGACGGUACCUAACCAGAAAGCCACGGCUAACUACGUGCCAGCCGCCGCCGUAA
RNAcentral lists this ribosomal RNA (515 nucleotides) under uncultured bacterium. Its description in RNAcentral is "partial 16S ribosomal RNA". It matches the Rfam family "Bacterial small subunit ribosomal RNA", at positions 28 to 523 of the family's 1533-position model. The record is from RNAcentral.